Panicum virgatum (switchgrass) is the source of this 522-nucleotide long non-coding RNA. RefSeq lists it as uncharacterized. The record is from RefSeq and is a predicted model, not a curated record. The transcript is spliced from 3 exons. Lineage: Eukaryota; Viridiplantae; Streptophyta; Magnoliopsida; Poales; Poaceae.
GUUGAUCAUCAGAUUGUUCUGAACUUGAUCAGGUGGUUCCUUCUCUCAUGAAAGAAGCACCUGGUUGAGAUGGAAGAAGAGGGCAACAAAGCAGACAAUGAGUCCAAUGCAGCUAUACUACCAGAUUUCAUACCUCAAGUUGGCAUGGAAUUUGGAAGUUCAGAUGAGGCUUGGGCAUUUUGGCUUCGUUAUGGUGGGCACAGAGGCUUUGAAGUUAGAAAAAGGCUUUGAUGGACAAGGAGAAGGAUUCCAAUGAGAAGAUGGCCCUCAAAAGCUUCACCCAACACUUGACUGGACCAAUCAGUGAUGAUCUUCUUACUGGAGAUUUAUUGUAGUAACUCUGGUUUGCUUUUUUGCUCCAAGUGGGCAUAUGCGUUCACCUUUCUUUUGCUAUUUUGCAAGCAUCCUAGAAGCAUGGAUAACUUUAGUUCUGUGUAAUUUAUGUAUUUACCUUCCAGUGAUGUGAAUGUAUGAAUGCAUUUGACAGCAUGCAGAAAUCUCUGCAGGAAUCUCAACAUUUUC